GAAGGUUUUUUACAAGAUCCUUGAAUAAGCUGAUCAACAGAGACGCCUCCGCAGGCAGAGGGCGGAUCACCUUAGUGAGAAACAGGCCCAUCCUCCUCCAGCUCCGUGUCAGGACCAUCUUUAAACUGUCAAAAACCUGGCGCACAGUCUGCCCCAGUGCUCCUGGUGUCCUCCGAGCUGCAAUGGUUGAGAAAACAGUCAAAAAGGAUCUUGGAAAUCAUCUCCAUCCACCUGUGGCUUGAUCUGAGCAUACUCCUGCAGGAGAAUGAUAGUGGAUUGGGACUGUUUGCUGAUUGGCUGCAUCUCCUCCUCAGUGUUCUGGGUGGAUGCAACAUCAACAGUGUCCUCAGACAGCUUCUCCACCUCCUCCACUGUGACUGAGGUCUUCAAAUGAGGAGUGAGAGUGAGGUCAGUCUGGUUGCUGAUUGGCUGCAUCUCCUCCUCAGUGAUCUGGAUGGAUGCAACAUGAACAGUGUCCUCAGAUUGCUUCUCCUCCUCUGUGACUGAGGUCUUUACAUGAGGAGUGAGAGUGAGGUCAGUCUGGCUGCUGAUUGGCUGCGUCUCCCCCUCAGUGUUCUGGGUGGAUGAAACAGUAACUUCCACCUAUCAGCAGAAUUACACAACAAACUAAUUAACAGAUUUCCACAAUGUGACUUUGGCCAUGGAAGAAUAUGUUAACUUUGCUUUAGAUCUGGAUCAGGAUUUAACCCUAACCUUUAUACUGAACAGUGUUUCGAAUAGUCAGUUCCCCUCUUUCAUGUCAAUUGCAGGAGACAAACAACUCAGACAAAAAACAAGAAUUACAACCUUAAAGAGGAUUUGAUUCAUCGCAGGGCUUCAGAAGUCGACUGUAUCAGUUAGUAUAUGAAUAACGUACGUUGAGCUUUAUAUCUUGUGUAUUGUAAUUCAUUCUCUGACUGUGGAUUCAUUAUACAAAGAUAAUAUAGUAGUUCAGGCUUGUAUAUAUCACAUUAUGAAUGUUUGCGUGCUCCUCUGAACCCAGCUCCCUGUUCUCCUCUGUGUUCUGCUGCUUGCCGUGUUGCCGUCUAUCUCUGAAGCCAGAUUUAUUCACUCCAUAUUUGCCGGCUGCCAAUCACAAUUUACAUAGGUCGUCCCAUGAAGAAACUAAUCCCGAUUAUAAUUAUUCCUAUAGACUAAUUAUGCACGUGGCAUUUGUUUAAUGGAGAUUUAUUUGGAGUAAUGAAAGUGUAGUCUUGUGGAACAUUGCAUUUCCUCUCGGUGUGGAGGAGCGGACCUGUGUCUCCUCCGCUGGCCUCUUCGAUAUAAUCAGCCAUCUCAGGCAAAACAAAGGGAGAGGCUGUGAGAUCCACCUUCAACCUGGCAGGAGAGAGAUGAUGGAAACCGCUGUAGGGCCCGAGCUUCUUUCUGACUUAUUCAUAUUGUGCAAGGAUUCUCACAUCCUCCGCUGCCUUUAUUUUAACUGUGCUAACCAACUGUGAUUUCUGCUGCUUCGUCUUUGUUUCGCCCGCUCCUGGGUUCGGCAGAGAUCUGUGCUACUUGGUAAUCAGGGCCGACACCACAGUGUGCUGAGCUUUGGUCAGGGCCACAGCAAAUCAAACACAGCCACAGGAGAUGUGUGAAGACACAGAGUUGGAUUAUCUACAAAGAAAAAGUAGAUGAGAGAGUAAUGCUUUCUAUGCUACCACAACAGGGACCAUCACAAGAAAAAAACCCUGCAUAAAAAUAUUAUAAUGUGAGACAUAUUUAAAAAAAAAAGCAUGGAAAGGCAAGUGAUGGAGAAUGAACGACGCACAACACAGAUGCAGGACGCACAUGCUGCUGCGGUUUCUAUAAAUGUUCUGGGCCAUUCAUUUGGGGAUUAAGCGGCCUAAUCUCAAAAUAUUCAGUAAUUCAUUCUCUCCAACCAGAUAAAUAAUAACACAGUGAUUGCUUUGCCAGUGGGAGCCGGGAGCAGCCCCCCAGUGUCGGGGUGAUCGUUUCGCCAGCGGUGCUCCAGCGGUUCCAGCAGCUCAGCGGUGGUUCAGUGACAGUUCACUACACAGACCAAUCUAACAAGAAGCACUGACUCGGCCGCACUGUGGCACGGAGCGUUUGAGGAUGCGUGUCGGUGACAAUCGAGACUUUAAUCUCAAGCACUGUGCAAGCACCCAAAACACGUCUUCUAUUUUAAGACUGGUUCAUUGUACUUUGUUACAUAUGAAGCUGUGCACGGUUAAAAAAUAAACAGUGGAGAAGGAAGUGUUUGCUGUAUUAAACAUAUGUUCAUUCAUAAUUAAUCUGUAAAUAGCUCCUUUAAUGCUGUGGCUGUUUAUAGCAG
Molecule: long non-coding RNA, 2299 nt
Organism: Platichthys flesus (European flounder)
Lineage: Eukaryota; Metazoa; Chordata; Actinopteri; Pleuronectiformes; Pleuronectidae
Exons: 3
Source: RefSeq, a predicted model, not a curated record